GACGAACGCUGGCGGCGUGCUUAACACAUGCAAGUCGAACGGAAAGGCCCUGCUUUUGUUGGGUGCUCGAGCGGCGAACGGGUGAGUAACACGUGAGUAACCUUCCCUUGACUUUCGGAUAACUUCAGGAAACUGUGGCUAAUACCGGAUAGGAGCUCCUGCUGCUUGGUGGGGGUUGGAAAGUUUCGGCGGUUGGGGAUGGACUCGCGGCUUAUGAGCUUGUUGGUGGGUUAGUUGCUUACCAAGGCGUUGACGGGUAGCCGGCCUGAGAGGGUGACCGGCCACAGUGGGACUGAGAUACGGACCAGAGGGAAACGGGGGGAAGAAGUGGAAAAUAUGACAAAAUGGGCGGAAGGCUGAUGGAGCAACGCCGGGUGCGGGAUGACGGCUUUCGGGGUGGAAACCGCUUGAGCCUGGGACGAAGAGUGAGUGACGGUAAUGGAUAAAGAAGCAACGGCUAACUACGUG
RNAcentral lists this ribosomal RNA (468 nucleotides) under uncultured bacterium. RNAcentral's name for it is "partial 16S ribosomal RNA". It matches the Rfam family "Bacterial small subunit ribosomal RNA", at positions 28 to 507 of the family's 1533-position model. The record is from RNAcentral.